UCUUCUCCAUCCUGAAGAAAACAGACAUCUGGUCCCAAGCCCACAAGGAAGAAGCUGAAUUGCAAAAAUAAGUGUAUCACAAACCAGACCCAAAGAGCUCUCUGCAGGAUCUUCUAAAACCUCAGACACUGCAGAAGGAAGAGUUGAUAACUGUGCAACCCACUGACCUUUCUGCCAGGGAGUUUGUGGUUUACCAGUAUGGCCUCUCCAUCCUGCACCUCCUUAUCCCCCAGCUUCAUGCUCCAGAAAUCACCCUGAAGAUUUCUUCUCAUCUUCCUGCCAUGGAAGCCCAAGGCAGUGCCUUCCAAGGUGCCUUCUUCUACCAGUGCUGAAAACACACUGUUCAUUGGGAGAGAAUGUUUGGCCUCUGUGGGAAGCUUUGUUCUGCUGCUGAUCCGCUGCCUGGCCCACAUCACUGCUGGGGAACCCCACCAGGACUCCAGCCCUGCCUUUCUGGGGUCAUUUUACAAGGGCCUGGAGGCCUAUUUCAGGGAAGCAUUCCCUAUCACACUGAGAAUGGCAGCAGUUUCCAGGGACAGUAAACUUGACCAAAGCAUAAGUGCUAUCCUGCUGGAAGAGCAGCCCAUCUCUGACAGAGAAAGGGAUCUUCUGUCUAAACUCAUUGAAAUGAAGCAUGUAUCUCCCUUGGAGCCAGAAUCACUAGAAGAGUAUAUUCAUAAAAACAAAGAUCUUCUGCUCUUCACCAGUAUGGAACAUUUCCUAAAAAGCAUCCUCGCUGCAGAACAACAAAUCCUAAGAAAACCAAGAAAUCAAUUUGGGAGUGAAGAUAAGAUCUAGAAAGAAAAUGGUAAUCUCAUUUCAGUCUGCAUUAUUAAAAGGUCUUAAAUACAUCACUACAACAUCUGAUGAAGCUGAUAAGAAUUAUUGGAAAAUCUAUAAUAUUCAUGGUAAAACACAUAAAUGUGUAUCAUAGUUUUAAGUGUAUAUAUAAUAGGGGCUAAUAUUUGCCACAGAGGUUGAGGACCCCUGCUCACUGUGACUAAAAUUUUCAGUGUGACUAAAAGAUCAUUAGAUCACGUAUCUUAUUAAAAUAUGUAUUAAAGAUAUUGACUAAAACUUUCUGGGAAUGU
This is a long non-coding RNA of Homo sapiens (human), 1091 nucleotides long. NCBI's taxonomy places the organism in Eukaryota, Metazoa, Chordata, Mammalia, Primates, Hominidae. The record is from Ensembl.